Molecule: unclassified non-coding RNA, 200 nt
Filed under: soil metagenome
Description: partial contains internal transcribed spacer 2 and large subunit ribosomal RNA
Source: RNAcentral
GACUUGGGUGUUGCUGCUUUACUGUGGCUCACCUCAAAUGGAGUAGUGCAACUCUCGGUUGGACAUAGUACGGCGUGAUAAGUAUCUUCGCCGGCGCCUCACUCGAGGGUGGCCGAUCGGGAGCUCUGUGCUUCAAACCGUCUUCGGACAAUCUCUGACAACUUGACCUCAAAUCGAGUAGGACUACCCGCUGAACUUAA